RNAcentral lists this ribosomal RNA (466 nucleotides) under uncultured eukaryote. RNAcentral's name for it is "bacterial SSU rRNA". It matches the Rfam family "Eukaryotic small subunit ribosomal RNA", at positions 592 to 964 of the family's 1831-position model. The record is from RNAcentral.
CAAUAGCGUAUAUUAAAGUUGCUGCGUUUAAAAAGCUCGUAGUUGGAUCUCUGAUGAGGAACGGCCGGUGUGGGCCACAGUGCCUUCCACUGCCGUCGCGCCUCCGUCCGUGCUUGUUCGGUCGCGGCCGUUAGCUCGGUUGUGGUCGGGCGGGUUACGGCGGUGGAGCGAGACGCUUCCCAUCAAAACCACCCGUCUCCUCCGCGCGUGCCCUUGACUGGGUUGCGCGCGUCGGUCGGGGCAGUUACUUUGAGAAAACAGGAGUGCUCAAAGCAGGCAAUUCUCGUUGGCCAUUGAACGAGUUGUGCAUGGAAUAACGGAAUAGGACCUCGGUUCUGUUGUGUUGGUUUACAGUUUGCUGAGGUAAUGAUUAAAAGGAACAGACGGGGGCAUUCGUAUUGCAGCGUGAGAGGUGAAAUUCUUGGAUCGCCGCAAGACGCUCUACUGCGAAAGCAUUUGCCAAGCA